CCUACGGGUGGCAGCAGUGGGGAAUAUUGGACAAUGGGCGAAAGCCUGAUCCAGCCAUGCCGCGUGUGUGAAGAAGGCCUUCGGGUUGUAAAGCACUUUCAGUGGGGAAGAAAGCCUUGGGGCUAAUACCCUCGAGGAAGGACAUCACCCACAGAAGAAGCACCGGCUAACUCCGUGCCAGCACGCCGCGGUAAUACGGAGGGUGCGAGCGUUAAUCGGAAUUACUGGGCGUAAAGCGCGCGUAGGCGGUCUGAUAAGCCGGUUGUGAAAGCCCCGGGCUCAACCUGGGAACGGCAUCCGGAACUGUCAGGCUAGAGUGCAGGAGAGGAAGGUAGAAUUCCCGGUGUAGCGGUGAAAUGCGUAGAGAUCGGGAGGAAUACCAGUGGCGAAGGCGGCCUUCUGGACUGACACUGACGCUGAGGUGCGAAAGCGUGGGUAGCAAACAGGAUUAGAUACCCGAGUAGUC
This 466-nucleotide ribosomal RNA is filed under the name Vreelandella stevensii. RNAcentral describes it as "partial 16S ribosomal RNA". It matches the Rfam family "Bacterial small subunit ribosomal RNA", at positions 338 to 795 of the family's 1533-position model. The record is from RNAcentral. Lineage: Bacteria; Pseudomonadati; Pseudomonadota; Gammaproteobacteria; Oceanospirillales; Halomonadaceae.